Molecule: long non-coding RNA, 718 nt
Organism: Myodes glareolus (Bank vole)
Lineage: Eukaryota; Metazoa; Chordata; Mammalia; Rodentia; Cricetidae
Source: RefSeq, a predicted model, not a curated record
CCCAAAAUCAAAUGUGGGAAAAUUUCUUCCUUAUCUGUAUUGAAGAAUAAGCAGGUGACCAAGCUCUACAGUAAUUACGGGAAGCAAAAAUGAAAGUGAAGAAGAGAGCUAACGGUUUAGUUUUGAGAGAAUCACAUGUCAGGGUAUUAACAAAAGAGCAUUCACUAAAUGAAACUACAUUCCUACUUGGUUUUACUCCAUAUCAGUGAUUUUUCCCAAAUACUGAUUUUUAGCAAUAAGGAAUCAAGAGUCACAGGAUGGUGGUGACACACGCCUUUAAUUCCAGCACUUGGGAGGCUGAGACAGGCAGAUCUUUGUGAGUUUGAGGCCAGUCUGGUCUACAAGAGCUAGUUCCAGGACAGGCUCUGAAGCUACAGAGAAACCCUGAUUUGAACACCCUGCCUACCCAAAAGGAAUUAAGAGUCAAAAGGCUCCAGAAACAUCUGUACCUAAGGAAACACAGCUUUAAAGGAGUCAAGGCUACUGGUAGGCACUGCCACUGAAGGAAAUACAGAGCCAUUCACAGCGAUGUCUAUCCAUGAGAAAACAACAGGCCAGACUUCUAAAAGCUCCAAAGGAGCCGCAGAGCAAGACAAGCAGCUGAAUUUCAGGCACUGGUUUUAGGAUCACAACAUUUACCAAACACUGAAGCAAUUAAACACAGAUUUUAGGGCUGCAGCUUCUGAAGAAAAAGCACCAAUAAAGACAGAAGAAUCUC